GAUGAACGCUAGCUACAGGCUUAACACAUGCAAGUCGAGGGGCAGCAUGGUCUUAGCUUGCUAAGUUUGAUGGCGACCGGCGCACGGGUGAGUAACACGUAUCCAACCUGCCGAUGACUCGGGGAUAGCCUUUCGAAAGAAAGAUUAAUACCCGAUGGCAUAGUUCUUCCGCAUGGUAGGACUAUUAAAGAAUUUCGGUCAUCGAUGGGGAUGCGUUCCAUUAGCUUGUUGGCGGGGUAACGGCCCACCAAGGCAUCGAUGGAUAGGGGUUCUGAGAGGAAGGUCCCCCACAUUGGAACUGAGACACGGUCCAA
This 314-nucleotide ribosomal RNA is filed under the name uncultured bacterium. RNAcentral describes it as "bacterial SSU rRNA". It matches the Rfam family "Bacterial small subunit ribosomal RNA", at positions 28 to 334 of the family's 1533-position model. The record is from RNAcentral.